CACGAGCGUACAUUAAAGUUGCUGCGGGUCAAAAAGCUCGGAGUUGGAUUCCAGUCUAGGAAGGUUAACUCGUCGAAAGGUUGUACGUUGAUUUUCCUCAGACUUCGUCAGAAGCCCUUAACUGUGUGGUACGAUGUUCUGACCUUUCACCUUGAGGAAAGUAUAGUGUUUCAAGCAGGCUACCCAGUUGGAAUACAUUAGCAUGGAAUCAUGAAAUGGAUCUCGGUUCCAUUUCGUUGGUUCUAGAGCAGAGGUGAUGAUCAAUAGGACCAGGCGAAGGUAUUCGUACUUGGGAGUGAGGUGAAAUCCAGUGAUCUCUUAAAGACGAUCCGAGGCGAAAGCAUUUGUCAAGGAUGUUUUCAUUGC
RNAcentral lists this ribosomal RNA (366 nucleotides) under uncultured eukaryote. RNAcentral describes it as "partial 18S ribosomal RNA". It matches the Rfam family "Eukaryotic small subunit ribosomal RNA", at positions 592 to 976 of the family's 1831-position model. The record is from RNAcentral.